AUUGAACGCUGGCGGCAUGCCUUACACAUGCAAGUCGAACGGUAACAGGUCUUCGGAUGCUGACGAGUGGCGAACGGGUGAGUAAUACAUCGGAACGUGCCCAGACGUGGGGGAUAACGAGGCGAAAGCUUUGCUAAUACCGCAUACGAUCUAAGGAUGAAAGCAGGGGACCGCAAGGCCUUGCGCGUUUGGAGCGGCCGAUGGCAGAUUAGGUAGUUGGUGGGAUAAAAGCUUACCAAGCCGACGAUCUGUAGCUGGUCUGAGAGGACGACCAGCCACACUGGGACUGAGACACGGCCCAGACUCCUACGGGAGGCAGCAGUGGGGAACUUUGGACAAUGGGCGAAAGCCUGAUCCAGCAAUGCCGCGUGCAGGAUGAAGGCCUUCGGGUUGUAAACUGCUUUUGUACGGAACGAAAAGGCUCUGGCUAAUACCUGGGGCACAUGACGGUACCGUAAGAAUAAGCACCGGCUAACUACGUG
Molecule: ribosomal RNA, 482 nt
Filed under: uncultured bacterium
Lineage: Bacteria
Description: partial 16S ribosomal RNA
Rfam family: Bacterial small subunit ribosomal RNA
Source: RNAcentral